RNAcentral lists this ribosomal RNA (27 nucleotides) under Rosa gallica (French rose). RNAcentral describes it as "partial 26S ribosomal RNA". Lineage: Eukaryota; Viridiplantae; Streptophyta; Magnoliopsida; Rosales; Rosaceae. The record is from RNAcentral.
CGACCCCAGGUCAGGCGGGGUUACCCG